RNAcentral lists this transfer RNA (71 nucleotides) under Lacipirellula limnantheis. RNAcentral describes it as "Planctomycetes bacterium I41 tRNA-Arg". The record is from RNAcentral. Lineage: Bacteria; Pseudomonadati; Planctomycetota; Planctomycetia; Pirellulales; Lacipirellulaceae.
UCCUCGGAGUGUGCCGGAUCCGCACGCAACCCUGCGAAGGUUGAAGACCAGGUUCAAUUCCUGGCGAGGGC